This 253-nucleotide ribosomal RNA is filed under the name uncultured bacterium. RNAcentral's name for it is "partial 16S ribosomal RNA". It matches the Rfam family "Bacterial small subunit ribosomal RNA", at positions 524 to 776 of the family's 1533-position model. The record is from RNAcentral.
UACAGAGGGGGCAAGCGUUGUUCGGAAUUACUGGGCGUAAAGGGCGCGUAGGCGGCCCGCUAAGUCGAACGCGAAAUCCCCGAGCUCAACUCGGGAACUGCGUCCGAUACUGGUGGGCUUGAAUCCGGGAGAGGGAUGCGGAAUUCCAGGUGUAGCGGUGAAAUGCGUAGAUAUCAGGUGGAACACCAGUGGCGAAGGCGGCUUUCUGGACGGUAACUGACGCUGAGACGCGAAAGCGUGGGGAGCGAACAGG